This 433-nucleotide ribosomal RNA is filed under the name uncultured bacterium. Its description in RNAcentral is "partial 16S ribosomal RNA". It matches the Rfam family "Bacterial small subunit ribosomal RNA", at positions 29 to 507 of the family's 1533-position model. The record is from RNAcentral.
AACGAACGCUGGCGGCAUGCCUAACACAUGCAAGUCGAACGAGACCGCCGGGUCUAGUGGCGCACGGGGGCGUAACGCGUGGGAACCUGCCCGUAGGUUCGGAACAACUCCCCGAAAGGGGUGUUAAUACCGGAUAAGGUCUUCGGACCAAAGAUUUAUCGCCUUUGGAUGGGCCCGCGUUGGAUUAGGUAGUUGGUAGGGUAAUAGCCUACCAAGGCGACGAUGCAGAGCUGGUCUGAGAGGAUGAUCAGCCACGCUGGGACUGCGACACGGCCCAGACUCCUACGGGAGGCAGCAGUGUGGAAUAUUGGGCGCUGGGCGCAAGCCUGAUCCAGCAGUGCCGCGUGAGUGAUGAAGGCCUUAGGGUUGUGAAGCUCUUUUACCCGGGAUGAUAAUGACAGUACCGGGAGAAUAAGCACCGGCUAACUCCGUG